This is a non-coding RNA of Sus scrofa (pig), 1343 nucleotides long. Lineage: Eukaryota; Metazoa; Chordata; Mammalia; Artiodactyla; Suidae. The record is from RefSeq and is a predicted model, not a curated record.
CUACAGGUGCCACCAAAAGCAAUCAGGCUGUGAAACUUUCCAGAGCGUUCCAUCUACCUCACACACUGUGCAAAUCGAGGGCUUCAGGAUACAUAGGUGAAAAUCACUUCCUCAUCAAAAUAUUUGCGGGCACUUUGAAAAGAUCACCGCCUCACAUGUGGAGUUUACUUCUGUGGGUGAAGGUGCACAGAGUCAACGUUAAGCACAUGACCUUGCUCCUUUUUAAGAUUAACAAAAGAGUGUGCAAAAGGAACUUAAGAUUCUUUCCAUCUAGUAUUAGCUGCCUGGAUCUUCAAAGUACCUCCAAGGGCACGUUCCGCCAAAAAGCAGAUGGUGGAAAAGCCCUCGUGUUCUUCCUGCUCUGUUGUCCAGUGACUGAGCCGUGUGCCUGACAGGUGUCCGAAUCUGAUUUUGUGUCACUCAGUGCAACCCUGCAUUAGCUGUGGCUGUCAAAGAAAUGACCUCAACAUUUAGCACCCGAAGGCAGCAGUGAACAUUUUCGGUCUCGGGGUCUGUAGGCCAGGAGCUCAGGAGCAGCUGAGGAAACUAUUGGAGGAUAUGUCAUUAGAAAAAAAUACAAAUGGUAACCUAAGAAAAUAGAAGCUGUGGAAAUCCCAGAAUAGAAGAUCCAAUAUGAGGAGAGGAAAGAAAACUAUGACAGUCAUUCCAGGAGGUAGGACCAAUAAAAAACAGUUCUGUAUCAGGCCUAGAGAAAACAUGUUCAGAUUAGACUACCUCUGAAGACCCCAGGAGCAAUCCAUGAGAAGGUAAAACGUAUACAUUACCUAAUGUUUGAAUGUAUUCAGAAGAAGUUUACAGAACUUGAGGAGAUUUUGAAGUUAAAUUAGUGGCUCAUAUAUAAAUAUCAUUUGCAUAGACAUAGUAAUUACUCAGUAUUUCUAUAGCUCAUGGAAAAUGGGGUAUGGGAAGUGUACGUGUGUGUGUGAUGGGAAGAGAGAUAUUCACCGAGUGGGACGUUAAUCAAUAAAUACACCAAACUGAAAAAUCAAAAUCUAAAUAUAUGAUACAGAGAGAGGUGCACCAUAGCAUAGUGGUUAUCCAGGCAGACUCUCGAGUCAGACUUUCUGGGUUUCAAUUCCACCACUGCCAAGUAAUAACUGUCUAACCAUGGGCAAUUUGCUUUGCUUAUUGCAUCUAAGUUUUAUCAUCUGAAAACUGGGAUCAUAAUUAUCUACCUUGUAAGACUGAUAUGUGACUACACUUCUAACUUGCUGAGAACAAUACUUGGCACAAAGCAAGCAGUACAGAAAUGUUGGCUGUUGAGAUAAAGAUGUUAGAGAUGUGGAGGUAAAUAUCAAAAGAGGAAGUUCCUGUUGUGGCUU